Mya arenaria is the source of this 2120-nucleotide long non-coding RNA. RefSeq lists it as uncharacterized. The record is from RefSeq and is a predicted model, not a curated record. NCBI's taxonomy places the organism in Eukaryota, Metazoa, Mollusca, Bivalvia, Myida, Myidae. The transcript is spliced from 3 exons.
UUAAACCGGUUUAGCAUCAAAUCAAGUAGGACCUACUCCGGUGACCUCAGACGAACAUUCGUGUAAAAAAUGACGGUAAAAAAUGGAUUGAAAUGGACAAGCAUAAAAUUUUGGGCUAUGGACUUAUUGAAGACAACUGUAUGGAGAUAAACAGAAACACAGUGGUGCUUACAUUCUGAUGGAAAAGACAACAAAAGCAUCUCCCAUCAUUUUGGCGUGGCUCAGAUCAAGAGGAGAAAUUUAGAAAAGGUGAUGGUUGGGCACACACAAGAAGACAUAGAUCACAGGCGUCUAGCCAUAUGAGUAGACAGGAGUUUCACACUCUGCCAGACUUACUUCCUCAGACGAGCAGAUUUAGGCUUCUCAAGAUCACGCACUGCACACUAAGACAUAGUCUUUGACUACAACAAGGCCUUAGGGGAUGAAAGUACAGAGAGGUCCAAUUGAAAUCAAUUCUGUGCUGCGUCAUUUCUUCAUUCUGGAGGUUGAUGGACAUGAUUUAUGGCAUCAAGUGUGCAGUUUGUCAACUAACUAUCAACACAGCAGUCUUGUUCACCAGCUGCGCAACUUGAGCUUUUAGCUUUAUUGCUUGAAGCCACUGCAUAAGAGGAGGGAAGGUGCAGGCUCAUCAAAAAGUCUCAAAGUUGAAACUAGGAAAAGAAGUUUGUCAAGAGUGUGAUUUAUUAUAUUUGCUUUGAAAACAAUUGUUACAAUGAUUUGGUUUCCUUUGAAACUUGAUACAUACUAUGUGUAUGUUGAAUGAAUUGAGAUGCUUAAAUAAAGAACCGCUAUUCAAAUAUCAGGAAACUGCAUUUUUCAUACUAAAGGGUAAAUGAUGUCGCCAUUUGCUGUAUGUAUUUAAAUAAGAUAUGUUUCCACAAUUAAUAUUUUUAGGGACUAUUUCUCAACGUAAUGAAAUAGAUUAAAUUUGUACAGCGUUAUAUGAGCUUAAUAUGUGUUUUCUGUUUCCUUAAAAUUGAUGAAAAAUUGUCAGAAGGUAAUGAGACCAGUAUCCAUUACUGCAAUCAUACAAUAAAAAAUACAAGGACAAGCCCACUGCUCAUAUAAUAUGAUUAAACCUUGUUUAGGGGCAUGAGGCAAACAGAGUUACUUUCAAAUGUUAAAGAUGCACUCUCACACUUCGGAUGUUUUAACAACUUUUUUCAUUUUUAGCUCUACUGGCCAAAGGCCAGAAGAGCUUAUGCGAUGGUAAUGUGUACGUAGUAUGUGCGUCUGUAAACAUUCCUCGUUAACAUGAUACAGCCUUCAGUUUUGAUUGCAUCUUGAUGAAACCUGUACAGUAUCUACAUAUCCAUUAGAGCUCGGUUCCUUUCGAAAACCAGCCAGAUCCGCCAUGCAUGCCAAGAUUAUGGGCCUUGAUAAUAAAAAAAAUAAUGUGUCAGUAAACAAUUGCUCGGUAACACGAUACAUUCUUCAGUUUUGAUUGUAUCUUGAUGAAACUUGUCCAGUAUAUCCAUUAGAGCUCAGUUCCUUUCAAAAACCUGAUCUGCCCAUGUUUCCUGGAUUAUUGGCCUUGAAAUUAUUAGAUGAUGGGCCUUGAUAGUAUAAAAAAAUGCUAUUUUGUAAUAAAUGCUUGCGAAUAUGAUACAGUCUUCAGUUUUGAGUAUUCAGAUACCCAUAAGGGGUUGGUUCUUUUCGAAAACAGUGAUGUUGACCACACAAACCCAGCCAGUAGAGCAUAGGCCCAUUUGGGCCUCUUGUUUGUUUUGAAUUGGUACCAUCCAAUUUUUGCGAAAAAUGCAUGGAAACCAGUAAUAUAAGACUACCGUAUUGACAAAAAAUUCAAUUGCAGACUUUUCUAUUUAAGUUAAAACAUUGAUGUUUUAUGCACUUUUCUUAAACCGUUAGUAACAUUAAUCUUCGAAGGAAAUAUGAAAUCUGGGAUUUGAUGUUUUGUCAGCAAUCUUUUACCAUUGGUUUGCUGAUAUUUACGCAAAAAUUUGCUCAUUCCAAGACAAAACAAAAGUUGUUAAAACGUUAUAUCUGUGAGAAUGCAGCUCUAAAUGUUUUGGCAAACAUGUUUUUGAUUUGGCAGCACAAUCAAUCUUGAGAAUUGCUUGAUUUUACUGCUGUAUUAGAAAUUACAGGGGUAAUGGGGA